AGCUCCCUCUCGCCCAACCCAGAGCCUUCGUUUAACAGGUGGAGCAACUGGUGGCGGGCGGUGACCUGCCCACGGGGGCAUCCGGACCUGGUGUCCCAGGACCUGAGGGGAUCUGAGAACAGGCAGCGGGUGGCUCAUGAGAGAGGUUGCAGGGCAGUCCACCAGCCUGUCCAGUGUCCAGCAGGGGCACAGGAGACACACAGCAACUGCACCCCACCUUCCUGUCUGCUGGCUGGAGACGCCCUUCCCCUCCUCAUGAAGACAAUGGCUGGACAUCCUGUGGAGCUGGACCCUAAACCGGUGAGGGUACAACUGAGCGAAGCCAAGUUGCUGAGACGAAUGGGAUAAGCAUGUCAUUGCAUUAAACGGACAUUUCCCCCUGUGGCCUUUAAUAAUUUAUGCCUUAAAGAAGACAGGUAGAGGUCCAGCGAACAAGUUAAAAAUGCCAGAUCUCACAGAUGAGAAGUAUGGUUCUUAUUAAAGUGUCUGCUUGCUACCUUGACAGUUUCUAAGAAGCAAAUAUUUCUACUGCUCCAGAUAUAAGGAAACAAAGUUACGUAGCCAGGGGAAAUCCACUUUGAAAAACAAAUGAAUCCAUGAGACUCCCCCAUGAUGACACAGCUCUCGGUGCAGAAUUGGAUGAUAAAGUGGAGUGCCUGCAGGAAAAAUGCAAUUCUUAUUAAAUAAGGGAACUGGAACCUUCUUGAUCUCAGUUUUAGCCUGUGGUCCACAUAUUUCACCCCCGUUUAUCAAUGAGGAGAUUUAUUGGACUAAGUACGAGGCAUUCCCUCACCAAGGACAGAACUUCACUGAGGAGGAGUUCUCUGAUAAGUCGGGCCCAGAUGAAAGCUCGGCAGGACUGCCACUGCUCUCUCCCUGAAGUCCUCUAAACGACAGUAAAGGGACAAAACAAUAACAACAAUAAGAGGCAUAAGCCCCCAAAAGUAAAGAGGCUAGGCCAAGAAACCACAGCAGAGAGAGAAGGCAACAAAAAUUUGGAAAUCAGAUCUCUGAGUGGUCACUGACCUAGCAAACCAGAGGAAGCUGAGGACUGGCAGGGAGGCAAGCUGAGAAGGCAGCCAUGUGAGCCCAGAGCUGGGCAGGCACCAGAGGCAUCAGGGGGCUGAAAACACAGGCGCGGCUUGGACCUGUUGAAAAACAAAAACUCAAUCCAUACAUUUAAAGAUCUUGUGGGCUUUAUUCAGCAAUUCAUGACUUGGACAGCAUUCCAUCUAGCAAGUAGAAAGGAGCUCUCAGGAGCUGUACAAAACAGAAGGUUUUUAUAAGCAGAAAGAGGGUAGGACAAAGGAGGUAAAGAGUGGAUUAUUUCAGGCAAGGUCACCCUCCCUUAGGGGAAGGCAGGGGGUCUUAUCAGCAGGUUCCCUCACUAGUGUUGAUCAGGAAAUUCCAGACUGAUUGGCUUAAAAUUCCACUCCUGGGAGAGGCUGAAACUGCAAUUAGGUUAGGCAUUAAGUCUUGGUGGGGCUUAGCAUAAGUGACUCCAUUUUGUACCUGUAGCUUCUUUUUAACAGACCUGAGAAAGAAAAAAUAGCGCUUGAGAGCUGAGAGCUAGCCUAGGCUGUGAGAUUCGCUUGUUGAACAAAGACAGUUUUAUACAACACCGACAUCAGACAAGGACGCUCUGUGACACAAGAGAUGAAGAUAACAAGACCAUUCCACGACCAUGGCUGAGCAUCAAGAAAAACAAGAACACUGCCCGGACCUGAGGAAUGGCCCAGACACUCCCUUUUCUGGUGCAUACAAGUGACUGAGGCUUCUUUACUGAUUACAGAGUUCACCCCACUUCAUUCCUCCCUACUCCUCAUGAGAUUUAUUGUCAUCAGAGGAUUACUCCUCAUUUCCAGACAGCACCUAAUCCAGAGAAAACCAUCACUUCCUUAACCCCUCCUCCAAAUCACCUAACUCAAGUCCAAAUCCUAUUCUAAGUUCUUCCUAACACUCUUCCAGGUGAUGUCAACCUCUUAGUCUCAAGUCCUGUGCCCUUGCGCAGUAAGCCAAUCACCAAGACGCUGGUGCUUGGAGAUGGAGAAAGUUUUAUUAGAAUUGGCCAAAAUGGGAAGGCAGGAGGAUAGGUUCUCUCAAAUAGGGCUUAAUAAGAGAAAAACGCAGGGGUUUUUUAUAGAGCUAAGUGGCUUGGCAGGAGUGAUGCGGGGUCAGUGAGCUGAGGAGUCGAAAGAAAGAUUUCUUGGACUCUCAAGGUCUGGCAGUAGUGCUCUUUUAUUUAGAGAAUA
Molecule: non-coding RNA, 2252 nt
Organism: Equus caballus (horse)
Lineage: Eukaryota; Metazoa; Chordata; Mammalia; Perissodactyla; Equidae
Source: RefSeq, a predicted model, not a curated record